UCCGCCGAGUCUCUGCCGGACGGAGCCCCGCGAGGAGGAAGCUGCGAGGCUGGGGGAGCAGAGCGCCGAGCCGAGACCCUCGACCUGGGGCUCCGGGGCCUCCGGGGCGCUCGUCUCCUCGGCUCCGUGUUGGGGGUGAAGCCGGUACACAGGCCCCUGGCUGCCGUCCACCGUGUCGCUGCAGUGCGGGGACGGUGCCGAGCGAGUGGCUGCAUGCCGUGGACUGUCCGGCCCCGGACCGGGGCAGAAGCGAGGCUCGGCGCACACAGGUGCCGCAGGCCGGGAGUGCUGAGCCCCGACUGCAGCCCAGUCCUCGCACGGGUCGCCUCGCAAGGCCGGCAGCAGGCCGCCCGGCGCCAGGCUGGACGAGGCUGGCCCCUGCGCGGUCUUUGUUCCCAGUGCAGCGGCACCCUGGAUGUGGAGCAGAGGAGCGGCCGGCGCAGAGUUCGGCCCGGCUGCUGCAGGCAGGGCGGCGGCGGAGCCGUCUGAGGCUGCUGGUUCAGGUGUGGACAGGAGAAAUGAAGGGAGGUGUGACGGGGCUCGGGAAGCCGGGAGGGGAGGUGAUUGGAGGGCGACACACUUGGAAAGGACGGGCAAGUCUGGAAGGCUGGUAACUGGACUUCAACACUUGCGUUUGAGGCUCUUCACCAACCUGAGGCCCACGGAGUUUUUUUUUUAGAUUUAUUUAUUUUUUUGAAAAUCAGAGUGACACAGAGAUAGAGAGAGAGAGGUCUUCCAUCUGCAGAUCUCCCACGUGGGUGCAGGGGCCCAAGCACUUGGGUCACCCUCUGCUGCUCUCCCAGGCCAGAGAGCUGGAUCAGAACUGAAACAGCCGGGACUUGAACCGGCGCCCAUAUGCGGUGCCGGCACUGCAGGCGGCGGCUUUACCUGUUAUGCCACAGCACCGGCUCCUCUUUCUUUCUUAAGAUUUAUUUUGUUUGUUUGAAAGAGACACGCACACAGACGGAGAGAGAGAAUGUCCGUCUGUGGUUCCCUCUCCGAGUGGCCGCAAGCCGGAAGCCAGGAGCUUCGUCAGGGUCUCCCACGUGGGUAGCUGGGGCUGAAGGACUUGGGCCGUCCUCUGCUGCUUUUCCCAGGCCAUAGCAGGAAGCUGGAUCGGGAGAGUGAAGAGGCUGACAAGGUCGCCGCAGGAGGUCUGUCUCCACAGGGCGCAGGCGUGGUUGUAGAUUUCCUGGGGAUCCCUGUAUUCUUGGAAAUCUGUGAGAAACGACCUCUGCUCAAGAUGACCUCACUGACGGUCGAGCUGUGGGAUGGACUCGGUCCUCCUAGAGUGAUUCAACCCCUCUGAUGCUUGUUAUCUGCAACAAAGGCCUGGAGGGAAGUGCAGACGUAGGGUAUAUGGUCUGCAGUCAGACCUGAUGCAGGGACGAGAGGGUCCUGGGGAAGCUCUCAGGUCCUGCUGUAACCCACUUGAGGGUGUCUUAUCAUAGACUGACGACUUGUAAAUGAGAGGUAGCAACUCCAGUGGCUGAGAGAAGUACAAACAGUGGUAAAUACCUUAGUCUGUGUGGCCUGGUGGAAAGAACAUAAAGCAAUUAUGGAAAUCAGUGAGCGAGUCUUAAAUGAGCUACUAAAACUAAAUCGUGGUGAAGCGUUGUGGAAAGGACGUGCGUAAUGCAUGGGUUUGUUUGAGCAGGGGGUUGGUUACCAGUAGACUUAAACUCAGAGGUAAAUGUUCCAGUGUUAUAAGUAGAUGUUCGGAUUCUCUGCAAAAUAACCACUAUGUUUUGUAAUUGAUUAUUAUGUAAUUUAGCAUCACUUGAGUCUGUUCUAUUGUAUCUCAAAUAUCAAGUAAAUCUUUAAAAUCAAAAUGUUACAUGGCCAUGGAUUAGGGAGGGGUUGCUUGUAAUUCAAGGUCAGUGGUUUAAAGUGAUGGGAAACAGACUUUGUUAUUGUAAGGAAGAAUCAUUAACUCUGUAAGGAUCACUAAUGAGUGGACAUUUGCAGAAUUUAUGAGAACAGUAAAGAAUGUGUAAAGUGAACAGCGAAUGUAACUCAGGGUGUAAGAUAAAGUCAUCAGAGCUGGCCGGCGCCGCGGCUCACUAGGCUAAUCCUCUGCCUUGUGGCGCCGGCACACCGGGUUCUAGUACCGGUCGGGGCGCCGGAUUCUGUCCCGGUUGCCCCUCUUCCAGGCCAGCUCUCUGCUGUGGCCCAGGGAGUGCAGUGGAGGAUGGCCCAAGUGCUUGGGCCCUGCACCCACAUGGGAGACCAGGAUAAGCACCUGGUUCCUGCCAUCGGAUCAGCGCGGUGUGCCAGCCGCAGCACGCCAGCCGCGGCGGCCAUUGGAGGGUGAACCAACGGCAAAAGGAAGACCUUUCUCUCUGUCUCUCUCUCUCACUGUCCACUCUGCCUGUCAAAAAUAAAUAAAUAAAUAAAGUCAUCAGAGCCAUGCCAUCAGCCUUGCUGUCAGCCCUGGACCUGCUGGAGCUGGCCUGCGGCAGAAGUGGAGCAGCCGGGACACAACUGCUGCCCAUGUGGGAUGCCAGUGUUGCAGGGGACAGCUUUACCCACUAUGUCACAAAGCAGCCCCUGAAUCAGGAUCCCAGAACUCCAUCUGGGUUUGCCACGUUGGGUGGCAGGAGCCCAAGCACUCCGGCCAUCUUUUAUUGCUUGCCCGGGUAUGCAUUAGCAGGGGGCUGGAUUGGAAGCAGAGCAGCUGGGACUCGAACUGGUGCUCCAGUAUGGGAUGCUGGCGUUACAGGUGGCGGCUUAGCCUGCUGUGCCACCAGCCCCAGUGUGCCUGUUUGUUGAGGUGACUGAUGCCUAACUCACCCCCCCUUUUUAUUUAAGAUUUUAUUUAUUUAUUUGACAGAGUUAUAGACAGUGAGAGGGAGAAACAGAGAAAGGUCUUCCCUCCGUUGGUUCACUCCCCAAGUGGCCGCUACAGCUGGAGCUGCGCCAAUCUGAAGCCAGCAGCCAGGUGCCUCUUUCUGGUCUCCCGUGUGUGUACAGGGGCCCAAGGACCUGGGCCAUCCUCCACCGCUUUCCCAGGCCACAGCAGAGAGCUGGACCAGAAGAGGAGCAGCCGGGACUUGAACUGGUGCCCAUAUGGGAUGCCGGUGCCUCAGGCGGAGGAUUAACCUACUGCACCACAGCACCAGCCCCAUGACUCACCCUUUCUCCAGGCUGCUUGGCACCUGCCCCUUCAGAGCCUGGAGCUGCCCCCUCCCCUCCCAUUGUGAACAGUCCUUCAAACUUCCAGUCAUUCUUCCAUUCGGGCAUCCCAGAGAGACAUGAAUUAGGAAUAACUGAUGGGUACUGAAGACAGCCCAGGGGAAGUGUAGGGACACAGGAUUCCAGGCAGAGUUGUCCCUCGAGGCCAAAUGCAAGGGUGUGAAUGAGCCUGCUUCCUUUGGGGAAUGCAGAGUGUGGUCAGAUCAGCUGGGCUAGAGUGUAAGCGUGCCUGCUCGUGGAGGUAGCGUGCACGACUAUGUGUGUGCCUGCUCGUGGAGGUAGCGUGCACGACUAUGUGUGUGCCUGCUCGUGGAGGUAGCAUGCACGACUGUGUGUGUGCCUGCUCGUGGAGGUAGCGUGCACGACUAUGUGUGUGCCUGCUCGUGGAGGUAGCGUGCACGACUGUGUGUGUGCCUGCUCUUGGAGGUAGCGUGCACGACUAUGUGUGUGCCUGCUCGUGGAGGUAGCGUGCACGACUAUGUGUGUGCCUGCUCGUGGAGGUAGCGUGCACGACUAUGUGUGUGCCUGCUCGUGGAGGUAGCGUGCACGACUGUGUGCGUGCCUGCUCGUGGAGGUAGCGUGCACGACUGUGUGCGUGCCUGCUCGUGGAGGUAGCGUGCACGACUGUGUGCGUGCCUGCUCGUGGUCGGCCAUCUGAGACAUGGUGUGGAGCCCAGGCUAUGACGAUGUCAGCCUGGUCUCUCCAUGUCCUUGAGCAUCUGAGGCCGACUGUCAGUGAAGGUUUCCAUUAUGUCCCAGGCACACAGCUGUCGCUCCCCCUCUUCGUGGAGGAACGACACAGGACCCUGCGCUGUUCUUUCGUCUGCUCGGCCCUCCCCGGGUUUGCUGCUGGUUCUUCCCGGGUUGGCUGCUAUCCCUUCCACCUCCGUGGAAGGGCAGUUCCCCCUGGCCACAUUCCCCACUUCCGCAGGGGAGCGGCACACCGCCGGCCGGCUUUCUCGGGGGCUGCACGGGUUCCCUUAGAUGUUCCCCAUAGAUGUUCCUCGUGCAUGCCGUCUCUCUCCUCCUUUAUAGUCCUCCUCCGCCAAUCCCAACUCGGCUGCCCACACGCCGAGUACGCUGCUCUCCAAUCAGGAGCAAGUCCUACAGUUUAUUAGCUGAACUGGAGGCAGCUGUGCGGAAGCUGUUUACUUCUCUCCCAGCGCCAUAUUGUGGGAGAGCAGAUGCAUAGAAUAAGUCUUAAUUUCAGUAACUUAGUCCAGUCCGGAUUGCUCCCCACAGAUCCCCCUUUCUUUUUAUUUUUGGCGUUGAUACGCGCCUGUCUUCGGUGUCCCGCAGCACACACUCUGCUCUACUUGCUAGAGUUGCCACAGGCUCUUACAAGUCCUAUCAAUCAGGAAAACCGAAUCCGGGUCCUCUCUUCGCCAUGUUGUGAGGAGGUUUUUAGGCGCUGAUGCGUGCCUGUGUUCGGUGCCCUGCAGCGCAUACUCUGCUCUGCUAGAACUGCCUGCAGGUGUUUACAAAACCUAUCAGGCAAACCGAAUCCAAGCCUUCUCAUUGCCGUAUUGUGGGGGAGACUUAUUAGUGUUGGUUCGUGCCUAUCUUCGGUGACCUGCAGCUCAUACUCUGGUCGAGCUUUGCUGGCGCUUACCGCCUUAAAUCAGGCAGACCGAAUCCAAGCUUAAUAUUGUUGUAUUGUGGGGAAGCCUUACUGAUGUUAAUUCGUGCCUGUCUUCGGUGACCUGCGGCGCAUAAGCUGCUAGCUGCCCGCAGGUGCUCAUCGCCUCACUUGAUUAGGCAGACCGAAUCCAAGCCUUCUAAUUGGCAUGUUGAGGGGAGGCCUUAUUUUUCUCUAUUUCUCUAUCUCCGGGCAUUCCUACCUCUCCCAUUUCACUUCUAUCUUCCAGCAUUCCCAUUUCUCUUUUA
Oryctolagus cuniculus (rabbit) is the source of this 5082-nucleotide non-coding RNA. The record is from RefSeq and is a predicted model, not a curated record. NCBI's taxonomy places the organism in Eukaryota, Metazoa, Chordata, Mammalia, Lagomorpha, Leporidae.